UAAUAAUUUUUUAUAUUACCUUUCACCUUCAUCCAUUCUUACUGAAAUGGUAGAUAUCAUUCCAAUGCAUUCUGAUUAUUAUUUCAAACUGUCUCUCGUGUUUUAUUUUUUACUUUUACUGUCUCCUUCACUCAAUUCGACGUUUAACUUUAACUUUGGACCUAGCAUCGUGGACACAAACCUUUAGAAAGGAAUUAAGUAGCCUGGUAACUAAAUCUAAAAGGUGUUACGUAACUGUAGACGUACACGUAAAAGCAUGAAGCUGCCUGAGGUCGACUAAUAAGAAUAUAUCUCUUUCACGUGACUUGUCAGACAACGAACACGAACUAAACUCGGUUGAGAAAAUUUUAAGACUUAACCCAUUGGCAUGCAAUAAAUAUAUCGACGUGAUAUAUUUACCGGCAACCUACACGAUUAUAAAAAACGCGACGACUUUUCGCAACCGCCAUAGUCGUCUAAUUACGAGACAACUGACUCGCUUUAUUUUACUCAACUCGUAGAUGACGAUGAAGUAUUAAGCGACAUGUCACGGAGGAUUUUUUCGCGCUUGAAUUAUAAAAAUAUGCAUCGACGUGAAUUUUCCGCACGUUCUGCUAUUCGUAACUCGAAGAUGCGCACUGCGCGGAAUUGGCGUGUCGAUCGCGGGUGUUAAUAACCCGCGCAGCUCAAGUGAGGUUUCGUCAGGCACCUCGUGUAGGUAUAUCGUGAGAUAAGUCCUAUCGCUCGCGGCUGGUACACCGGGGCCCGAUAGAGAGCCACCCACCAUUUCGCGCGGCACGCCAGCAAGAUAAAACCCAGUGCACAAACCAGAUAUCGUCGGCAUUUAGUCGUUCUCUGUGUGUGCAUUAUCACGCACUCGACAUUUCGUGAAAUCAGUCACCGCGAGAGCCGCAGACGAUACAGUACGCCGUGCAUUGGACCGUUCAAUUUAAUACAGUGUGCUCGCUCGUUCUCCUACCUCCUCCUGCUCUACGAUUUGUAUUACACGGAGAAUACGGAGCGAAACCGUCGCGGAAGUCUGUCCUCGAGGAGGCCGACUUCCGGUCGAAACGAAGACGCGAUCCCGAGGUGGGAGAAGUGCACGGGGAAACGUAUAGUGGCACGUAGACGAUGCUCGAGCGCGCUCGGGCAAUUGCGAAAGCAAGAAACGUGUCUCUGAAUUGUGUCACCGAUUUACUUCCCGGUGAAAUUGCCAAGUCUGUGAAGCUACGUGUGGACUUUACUUGAGAUGGUGCAAAACAAAGCCGUGAAAAAUUCCUCUUUCUUUCUCCUUUUCUUUCCGCCUAAUAACUAAAUCAAAAUAUGAUGUAAUGAAAAUAUUGGAAAUCUAAUUCCUCGGUGUCCGAGAUAAAGAUACGCUUUCGUUAUUAAUAUCGUUAAUAUUAUUCCUAUCAAUAGAUAAGAAAAAGAAAUGCAACGUUGCAGCGGAAAUGAACCGACGGAAAUCAUGCCGCAUCGAAGGAAGUGGUUCGCUAAGCAAAACAUAUCUACCGGACGAAAUAUUUUCACUAAAGAUCAAGUAGACAUGGUUGUUUCUUUCCUGCGCUAUCGUCUUGGUCUGUAUUACGAAAUUGUCAGCUUAUCGUCAUUCGUUCUGCUAAUUAAAGUAAAUUAUUUUGCUGUCGUAUGAGGAACAAAUAACGCGCAAGUGAGAUAUCUUCCAUCUGUCUACGACUAUCUACUUCAUAGAAUUAGACGAGCGGAAGAGAUCUUUAAUCGAUUAUUAAUCAUAAAUACCAGACAUUUGAGCAAUGUCGCAAUUUUUUAAAAAAGGUAAAGAUAUUUGAGUUGAAGAGGACGAACGUCGUUUAUGCAAAGAAAAUCAUAAAUUCAUCCAGGCUUGAGGCUGUGACGAAGAAUGCACUGUGGUCGGUUAUAUCGAGAAAUGUUGAUUGUGGCCCGUGCAAUCGACAUAAAGUAAUAACUUCGGCGCAAUCAGAAAAAUUAAAUUACACGGUUCGGCCAGUAUUUGCGCCAAUGCAUUCGGCGAACGAAGACGACAUGGCGAAGGAUGACGGCAACGACUACUAUUGAUACAACGAUGGCGAUGAUUUAAUGUACAUCGGUUUACGUGAACCAUGACUUUUGUGCGGCACCGUGACCUCGCCACGUUGAACCCGACGCAGGCACAAGUACCCGACUGUACGGCGAAUCCAGGCCUUCGACGAAGGCAACUUUGUAGGCAACGAGAACGAUCGCGUCGUCUCUGAAUUUUUCCGAUGUCCAUUUAUAUACACGAUUCUUUAAAAAUUCCAUUCGUCUGUAUAAGUUCCAGCUCGAAAUAGCUUUGAAUAAUAAGUAUCCGGGUCGUAAAUUAUUGGUCAUUUAAGUUUGUGAGCUUCCGAUUGGUGAAUAACUUUUGUACCUACUCAUUUUCUAUAACUGUUAAAUGGCCGUAUGUUUCCCUCUUUACUUAACCGGUAGAAAAGCAAUAUAAAAGUUUUGUCCACAUAAUAGCUAGUAUAGUUUAUACUAUAAAAACUAAAAUUUACAAGAAAAAGUCAAGGAGAUUUUUAUGUGAGAAGCAAAAUGUUUUCUUUUUUUUUUGGUAAGUUUUAUCUGAUCAAAACUGUAAAAACAUCUCGCGUGGACGACUUGACAUUUUGCACUUUCGACGUAUUUACGUAAAGGCAGUUACGAAAUGAACGUACGAAAUCGCCUGACUCGACGCGAUAAGAUCUUUCGAACUUCACCUUCUUUAUAUAAAAUAUUAUAUUUUUAUCUUGACAUGUUCGUUCAAAUGUUUGCAGGAAAUAAUGGCGCAAUAGGUCAGCGAAAAUUUUAUGACAAAGUAAUAGCAUUUAUUGAAUUUUUGGUAAGAGCGUAUAUAAAUCCGGGUAAGCAUAAUAUGAAAAUUGACAAAACAGCGGGUCUUGAUGAACAAAGAAAACUAUCCUUGACGUCCCGAUAGUUUUAUCAUCUCGAUGGCGACCGAACAAACCGGGUACUCAAGUUUGUCUUAUUAUAUUGCGGUAUUAAAAGCAAACGGUCCAUUUGUAUAGACGCACACGUGACUCAUAUAGGAUCUCGACAUGACAACGCGACCAACGUGUGAUAAUGUUCCGUUCAUUAAUAUUUCGAGCAAGAAGCUUAUAUAUACGUGUGCUUGUAUUCAAAAAUUUUAUACCAUGUUCCACAUAAGAAUUAUUGCAACUCGUACUAUAAUUAUUCCAGAAGCUAAUUCUGAGCCAAGUGAACAAUUCAGUGUAAAACUUUGCCUCGUCAUAUAUUUCAAUGUUUAGAAGUAAUUAAAAAAAAGUUUCUCAUGUUACUUUUAUAUAUUAUAUAAAGGUCAAUGAAUAAAUAAAAUUAAAAGAUAUUAUUUACAUCAUUUUAUCACUUUCGCGUAUCUGUUUCUUUUAAAUCAAUAAAAAGUGUAACGGGCGUAAACAAAAAUGAAGAAAUUCGUCUGAAUCAAAAAGCAAUCGAAGGUGGCUCGUCUUCAAACAUCACGAAAUGACACGCGAUGGAGUGACUCAGGAGACUUGUGACGCAGCGAGCAAGUGUUUAAAUAGAAAUAAUGGCGACCCUGACGAUCGAGCCGAUAAAAUUCAACCGUUCGAGGGAAUGGUCAAAGUGACUGUUACAGGUGCCAGCGAUGCGCCUUACACUAGCACAGAAUAGGAUAAUAGAACGACUCCUCAUGACAUCGUUAUCGAAAUGCCAGGAAUGACGAUGUACCUUUCUGACUUUUUCCGCGCAAGCGAAUGCGACAAUAACUAAAGUUAUUUUAAUAAAGUACUUUCGGAGCGCUGUAUUAAAAUUUAAAAAAAAUAUAUAGACAAAUACAAAACCUGUAUUCCUUCAUACGUAGAAAUUAUGCAUAAACGUUUAUACAACACUGUUGAUACGUAACUUGUUGCGUUUAGUGGGUAAGCACAUAUUUUGACAUAUUACCCACGUAACAUUCCGGACAGCGAUCUUAUAUCUUAUAAUUAGUGCUGAUGUAUUCAAAAGCUGUGGCUUGUUAUCUUUAUUAAUAAUAUCUUUAUUGCUGUGUGGUAUUGAUGUAAUCGAUAGCAGGAGCAUUACGUGACAUAAUUAUCCACCACAAACCGCAAAUAAAUGCAGUCGAUCAUAAACGGUUAUCACGCCCACAUAAACGACAACAAGAAAUAACAAGUAAAUUAUUAAAAGAUACGUAUUGGUAACUAUCGUAAUAGUAAUAAUAAAUUUCAUUUGUAAAACGUACAAGUUUACGAACUUUAACUGGUCGGGACAUGAUGAUGUUCCAAAGUUAAGCCUUGGUCCUUAGAACCAAUUUGGAUACUGAAGAGACUCGUUUCGCGAUCGCGGCAAAGCUGGUAAAUACAUAUUUUAUGUUUACAAUAAAGUAAAUUUGCGGAUAAUUAUGAAAGUAUAAGGACUGAUCGCGAUGGUUUUUCAACAGCAUUACUCUGAAACAGCUGAAGAGGAACUUGUGAUACGCGAUUCACUGCUUUCGUAUUUUACAAUGUAACAAUAAUUGAAGUAUGUGACGCUAAAAGAGCGUACUCCUUAACUCUGGAUUGUGAUCUAGAAUUAUUAUUUAGAUUAUUAAACAUAGAUUAUUAAAAUGAGACGCUUUUCAGCGCAAAGCUUUGUAUUUUGCACAGUAAUGAUACGUACAUAUGCAGA
Vollenhovia emeryi is the source of this 4617-nucleotide long non-coding RNA. RefSeq lists it as uncharacterized. The transcript has 3 exons. The record is from RefSeq and is a predicted model, not a curated record. Lineage: Eukaryota; Metazoa; Arthropoda; Insecta; Hymenoptera; Formicidae.